GACGAACGCUGGCGGCGUGCUUAACACAUGCAAGUCGAACGGAAAGGCCUUUUCUGGGGUACUCGAGUGGCGUACGGGUGGGUAACAUGUGGGUGAUCUGCCCUUCACUCUGGGAUAAGCCUGGGAAACUGGGUCUAAUACCGGAUAGGACCGCACUAUAGCGUGUGUGUUGGCAAGCUUUUUCGGUGUAGGAUGAGCCCGCGGCCUAUCAGCUUGUUGGUGGUGUAAUGGUCUACUAAGGCGGAGACGGGCAGCCGGACUGGGAGGUUGGGCGGCCACAUUGGGACUGAGAUACAGACACGGCCCAGACGGGAAGGAGCGGUAGGGAAGGGUGAACAAGGAGAGCGAGCGUGAUGCUGAGCCGCCGAGUGGGGGAUGACGGUCUAGGGGUUGGAAACGCAAAGCGCCAGGGACGGAGCGUAUUGUGACGGUACCUGGAGAAGAAGCACCGGCUAACUACGUG
Molecule: ribosomal RNA, 463 nt
Filed under: uncultured bacterium
Lineage: Bacteria
Description: partial 16S ribosomal RNA
Rfam family: Bacterial small subunit ribosomal RNA
Source: RNAcentral